GGUCUGUGCAGUUAAUUGAAACUAAUACUACGUUUACACGUGGCCGGCUAUUUUCAACAAACAUUUCAACCUCUCCGGCUUCAAAAAUAACAUUGUGCACAGCCGUCAGUUUUCAGAAAAGUGUUCAUUAA
Molecule: long non-coding RNA, 131 nt
Organism: Etheostoma cragini (Arkansas darter)
Lineage: Eukaryota; Metazoa; Chordata; Actinopteri; Perciformes; Percidae
Exons: 4
Source: RefSeq, a predicted model, not a curated record